UGGCAGUUGCAGUUAGAUGUCAGUUGUAAGAUACGGCCAGCAUCCAGAGUGUGUAUAUAUAUAGCGGACUAAGCUCCUGAGCCGGCCCUAUAUUCAAUGGCUGCAGAGUGGCGUAAAAAGGCAUAUGUGUACCGACGGAAGUACGACACAGCUGUUACCCCCAAGCUGAGGUCCUCAGCAACUCUGCCAUGAUACCUGCCUGACACCUCACUCCUGUUUUUCGUAGUCACGAGAAAUAAAGAUGUGAAGCUACAACCUGGAAUUCUACCGGAGAAAAAUACCACCAUUUAAGCGGAAAAAAACCGCCAUAGGCUCAACAUGCUGCGACUUUGCAAAACUGACAAGAAGUUAAAA
Molecule: long non-coding RNA, 354 nt
Organism: Hyla sarda
Lineage: Eukaryota; Metazoa; Chordata; Amphibia; Anura; Hylidae
Exons: 3
Source: RefSeq, a predicted model, not a curated record